CAACUUUCAGCAAUGGAUCUCUUGGCUCUCGCAUCGAUGAAGAACGCAGCGAAUUGCGAUAUGUAAUGUGAAUUGCAGAUCUACAGUGAAUCAUCGAAUCUUUGAACGCACAUUGCGCUCCUCGGUGUUCCGAGGAGCAUGCCUGUUUGAGUGUCAGU
This 158-nucleotide ribosomal RNA is filed under the name Gomphidius smithii. RNAcentral describes it as "5.8S ribosomal RNA". It matches the Rfam family "5.8S ribosomal RNA". Rfam says of the family: 5.8S ribosomal RNA (5.8S rRNA) is a component of the large subunit of the eukaryotic ribosome. It is transcribed by RNA polymerase I as part of the 45S precursor that also contains 18S and 28S rRNA. The record is from RNAcentral. Lineage: Eukaryota; Fungi; Basidiomycota; Agaricomycetes; Boletales; Gomphidiaceae.